UUACAUUAUAAAUUUUUUUGAAAUACAUGAGUAAUUUCAUAACGGCUAGUUUUGAGAGAAAAUGUGACGUUGACGAUUUUAUAGUUUUGAAACAGCUAAUAUAUGUAUUAUUAAAAUAUAAAAUAUCCGCUGAUUGUUUUGAGCAUGGCCUCCUUGAUGUAUUGAGGCAACUUCGUUGUUCAGGCCUGGCGCAUCUUUAAGUUCGGCUGAUUCUCCACUGGCGCUGCAUUUAGCGGACUGACGUUUAUUUGACAAAUACCAUUUUUGAGGUUAAAGACUAAUAAAUUUGAAAGAUGUAAGUGUGCAUUCGUGAAAUACGUUGAAAAUGUGAGGAUAAUUCUAAAGUUAUGCCCUGAAUGAACGUUUGGAUAGUCUUCAGAAGAUAUACAAAUUAUUUUAAGGUGAAUUGAUUGUUCAUCGUUUAUAAGUAUUUUAAGCAUAACCUACGGCACUAGUACGCAGACACAGAUGCAGAGAAAACGAUGUUUCAAAGAACCUUCCAUUUAUUAUGCAUACUCUAUGGUUUUACCAAUGGUUAAGGUUGAAUGCGUUACAAAUCUGUGAUUUUUAAGACAUGGCUUAAGUUUUCUGAAAGGUAUUUGCAACCUUUUAACCAGCAGAUAUUUGCAAUACAUUGUUUAGUUUUAGUAAAAUGUACAAAGGAAGUCGUUUUUUCAAAUGAAAUGGUUUAAAAAAGCUCGAUCCAGCGUUCUUCUGCUAGAGUGUCUCUGAACCGUCCGUUCCAAAGUCCCUGUCUGGACCUCUGCUCACUCUCAAGCACCGCUCGUGGAUCACCAAACUCCCGAAAAAAAUCUACUACUUUAUAAAUUUCUUUGAGUUUUUGUAUUUAGAAAUUAUCAAUUACAUUGUGGGCUCUUUUUCACCUUCUCUUAUGAUGAUUGUACUUGUUAAAUUCAAUUUUUUUUCGGAUUUAACCUCACAAAUGCUAUUUGUCACAUAAACGUCAGUGCGCUAAAUAGGGCGCCAUCUACGGUUUCGAAAAAACCGCUGAAGCUUAUCGAUGCGCCAGGCCUGAACAACGAAGUUGUCUCCAUACAUCAAGGAGGCCAUGGU
Molecule: long non-coding RNA, 1074 nt
Organism: Tribolium castaneum (red flour beetle)
Lineage: Eukaryota; Metazoa; Arthropoda; Insecta; Coleoptera; Tenebrionidae
Exons: 3
Source: RefSeq, a predicted model, not a curated record